UAGUGGUAUCAGAGCGGGUCUACGUUCCUGUAGACUCGUGCUUUAAAAAAAAUGUUUUGCUUUCAAAAAGGUUUAAGUAAGCUUAAAAGGUUAGACUAGCCUAGUCAUUCGAAACUCAUGCGCUGCAUCGACUCCAAGGUAUGUGUUCUAAUUGUUCAAUUAUAGUUAUGGCAGUUAUGAUGUUUUACAAGAUAUUUUUUUAAUAAUGUUUUAUGUUCUAGUACUAUUAUGUUUAGCUCUGUUAGAAAUAGU
Molecule: long non-coding RNA, 252 nt
Filed under: Salvia miltiorrhiza (redroot sage)
Lineage: Eukaryota; Viridiplantae; Streptophyta; Magnoliopsida; Lamiales; Lamiaceae
Description: long non-coding RNA (SMIL_LNC010678)
Source: RNAcentral